UGGGGGAUAUUGCACAAUGGGCGAAAGCCUGAUGCAGCGACGCCGCGUGGGGGAUGAAGGCCUUCGGGUUGUAAACUUCUUUUGCUCUGAACAAGGCAUGCCUUUGGGGUGUGUUGAGUGUAGGGGUUGAUUAGCGCCGGCUAACUACGUGCCAGCAGCCGCGGUAAUACGUAGGGCGCGAGCGUUGUCCGGAAUUAUUGGGCGUAAAGGGCUUGUAGGUGGCUGGUUGCGUCUGUCGUGAAAGCUCAUGGCUUAACUGUGGGUUUGCGGUGGGUACGGGCUGGCUUGAGUGCAGUAGGGGAGGCAGGAAUUCCUGGUGUAGCGGUGGAAUGCGCAGAUAUCAGGAGGAAUACCGGUGGCGAAGGCGGGUCUCUGGGCUGUUACUGACGCUGAGGAGCGAAAGCGUGGGGAGCGAACAGG
RNAcentral lists this ribosomal RNA (420 nucleotides) under Fusobacteriota bacterium. RNAcentral describes it as "Fusobacteria bacterium partial 16S ribosomal RNA". It matches the Rfam family "Bacterial small subunit ribosomal RNA", at positions 355 to 776 of the family's 1533-position model. Lineage: Bacteria; Fusobacteriati; Fusobacteriota. The record is from RNAcentral.